UACAGAGGGUGCGAGCGUUAUUCGGAAUUACUGGGCGUAAAGCGCGCGUAGGCGGCAUUGCAAGUCGGGUGUGAAAUCCCCAGGCUUAACCUGGGAACUGCAUUCGAGACUGCACUGCUAGAGUAUGGGAGAGGGAAGUGGAAUUUCCGGUGUAGCGGUGAAAUGCGUAGAUAUCGGAAGGAACAUCAGUGGCGAAAGCGACUUCCUGGACCAAUACUGACGCUCAUGUGCGAAAGCGUGGGGAGCAAACAGG
Molecule: ribosomal RNA, 253 nt
Filed under: uncultured bacterium
Lineage: Bacteria
Description: partial 16S ribosomal RNA
Rfam family: Bacterial small subunit ribosomal RNA
Source: RNAcentral